Molecule: non-coding RNA, 333 nt
Organism: Tauraco erythrolophus (red-crested turaco)
Lineage: Eukaryota; Metazoa; Chordata; Aves; Musophagiformes; Musophagidae
Source: RefSeq, a predicted model, not a curated record
GGAACUAGUGAUCCGUACGUCAAGUUCAAACUUGGAGGAAAAGAAGUAUUUAGAAGUAAAACGAUACACAAGAACCUCAAUCCUGUGUGGGAAGAAAAAGCUUGCAUUCUUAUAGAUAACCCAAGAGAACCAUUGUAUAUAAAGGUCUUUGACUAUGACUUCGGACUUCAAGAUGACUUUAUUGGUUCAGCAUUUUUGGAUCUCACUUCAUUGGAGUUAAACAGGCAAACAGAUGUUACCUUGAGUCUGAAGGAUCCUCAUUACCCUGAUCAUGAUCUCGGAAGUAUAUUUUUGUCAGUUCUGUUGGCUCCUAGAGAAGAACAGCGAGAAGUG